AAAGUUGACAAUAGUACUGUCUGCUAUAAAAUGUAGAUAGAUGAGCAAAAUCUAACUUGUUUUUAUAUAUCAACAAUUUUCAUGUUUUAUGUGGUUUCUUUAUAAUCUUCACAGAAAUCAAAAAUUCAGUUUGAAAAUCCAUUUUUCAAAUCAAAAUACCAAAGAUGGAGGGGGACACCUUUUUGUUGCUGUGAUUCAAUAAAUCAUUUGAUAAACUGCAGAAAGAAUGAUCAUUGGUAAGAUCUGACAAAUCAGCUCUAUAUAAGAAGCCAUCACAUCUGUUACCAAAAUUUCCCCCUUCUUUCACCUACAGAAUAUUUUAGUUGCACCUUCUGAAUCAGGAAAUCCAGCUUUACUCAGUUUCACAGAGCAAUCAAGGGGAUAAAAUGUGUACAUUCAUGUGGAGUAUCCAAGCUAAGUCAAUGCCUGCUAUUUUCAUUUGAGCAUUGGUGUCUUUUUGCAAGACGAGAAAAGCACA
This 478-nucleotide long non-coding RNA is filed under the name Bos taurus (domestic cattle). Its description in RNAcentral is "long non-coding RNA NONBTAT018365". The record is from RNAcentral. Lineage: Eukaryota; Metazoa; Chordata; Mammalia; Artiodactyla; Bovidae.